Molecule: long non-coding RNA, 372 nt
Filed under: Trifolium pratense (red clover)
Lineage: Eukaryota; Viridiplantae; Streptophyta; Magnoliopsida; Fabales; Fabaceae
Description: long non-coding RNA (TPRA_LNC001337)
Source: RNAcentral
UGCCUGUUUGGUUUGGCGUUAGAAUACCUCUAAUGUGCGUUUGGAGCAGUCAAACGUGGUUUGACCGUAAAAAUUCAUGUUUGGCUUUGGAUAUGUGUAAAUCGAUUCUAACCCAAACGCACGGUGGGCCUGAAGCUAGGAUUCGGAGCUUCUACGUUUGAUAGAAUCGAUUCUGAAAAUUCGAUUUUGUUUCCCAAAGCCAUUUUCCGUUAUUACCCUUUAUAAGCAUCGAUCUGCCAUAGUUGAAAACAAUAUGUUUUUCAUAAGGAAGAAGUAAAGAGGAAAAAUUGGUGUUGCAGGGAAGAACAUGUUGCUUCCAUGGUAUCUCAACUUGCUUUUUAUGGCAAGGUAGUGACUCAAUUUCUUCAACAU